UACGUAGGGUGCGAGCGUUGUCCGGAAUUAUUGGGCGUAAAGGGCUCGUAGGCGGUUUGUCGCGUCGGGAGUGAAAACCCAGGGCUUAACCCUGGGCUGGCUUCCGAUACGGGCAGACUAGAGGUAUGCAGGGGAGAACGGAAUUCCUGGUGUAGCGGUGAAAUGCGCAGAUAUCAGGAGGAACACCGGUGGCGAAGGCGGUUCUCUGGGCCGAUACUGACGCUGAGGAGCGAAGGCGUGGGGAGCGAACAGG
Molecule: ribosomal RNA, 253 nt
Filed under: uncultured bacterium
Lineage: Bacteria
Description: partial 16S ribosomal RNA
Rfam family: Bacterial small subunit ribosomal RNA
Source: RNAcentral